GAUGAACGCUGGCGGCGUGCUUAACACAUGCAAGUCGAACGGAAAGGCCCUGCUUUUGUGGGGUGCUCGAGUGGCGAACGGGUGAGUAACACGUGAGUAACCUGCCCUUGACUUUGGGAUAACUUCAGGAAACUUGGGCUAAUACCGGAUAGGAUCUCCUGCUGCAUGGUGGGGGUUGGAAAGUUUCGGCGGUUGGUGAUGUACUCGCGGCUUAUCAGCUUGUUGGUGGGGUAGUGGCUUACCAAGGCUUUGACGGGUAGCCGGCCUGAGAGGGUGACCGGCCACAUUGGGACUGAGAUACGGCCCAGACUACUAAGGGAGGCAGCAGUGGGGAAUAUUGCACAAUGGGCGGAAGCCUGAUGCAGCAAAGCAGCGUGCGGGAUGACGGCAUUCGGGUUGUAAACCGCUUUCGCCUGUGACGAAGCGUGAGUGACGGUAAUGGGUAAAGAAGCACCGGCUAACUACGUG
RNAcentral lists this ribosomal RNA (468 nucleotides) under uncultured bacterium. Its description in RNAcentral is "partial 16S ribosomal RNA". It matches the Rfam family "Bacterial small subunit ribosomal RNA", at positions 28 to 507 of the family's 1533-position model. The record is from RNAcentral.